RNAcentral lists this ribosomal RNA (463 nucleotides) under uncultured Rhodococcus sp. RNAcentral describes it as "bacterial SSU rRNA". It matches the Rfam family "Bacterial small subunit ribosomal RNA", at positions 920 to 1382 of the family's 1533-position model. The record is from RNAcentral. Lineage: Bacteria; Bacillati; Actinomycetota; Actinomycetes; Mycobacteriales; Nocardiaceae.
CCCGGCACAAGCGGCGGAGCAUGUGGAUUAAUUCGAUGCAACGCGAAGAACCUUACCUGGGUUUGACAUACACCGGAAAACCGUAGAGAUACGGUCCCCCUUGUGGUCGGUGUACAGGUGGUGCAUGGCUGUCGUCAGCUCGUGUCGUGAGAUGUUGGGUUAAGUCCCGCAACGAGCGCAACCCUUGUCUUAUGUUGCCAGCACGUGAUGGUGGGGACUCGUAAGAGACUGCCGGGGUCAACUCGGAGGAAGGUGGGGACGACGUCAAGUCAUCAUGCCCCUUAUGUCCAGGGCUUCACACAUGCUACAAUGGCCAGUACAGAGGGCUGCGAGACCGUGAGGUGGAGCGAAUCCCUUAAAGCUGGUCUCAGUUCGGAUCGGGGUCUGCAACUCGACCCCGUGAAGUCGGAGUCGCUAGUAAUCGCAGAUCAGCAACGCUGCGGUGAAUACGUUCCCGGGCCUU